UACGGAGGGUGCAAGCGUUAUCCGGAUUCACUGGGUUUAAAGGGUGCGUAGGUGGGCAGGUAAGUCCGUGGUGAAAUCCCCGAGCUUAACUCGGGAACUGCCGUGGAUACUAUUUGUCUUGAAUAUUGUGGAGGUAAGCGGAAUAUGUCAUGUAGCGGUGAAAUGCUUAGAUAUGACAUAGAACACCAAUUGCGAAGGCAGCUUACUACACAGUUAUUGACGCUGAGGCACGAAAGCGUGGGGAUCAAACAGG
Molecule: ribosomal RNA, 253 nt
Filed under: uncultured bacterium
Lineage: Bacteria
Description: partial 16S ribosomal RNA
Rfam family: Bacterial small subunit ribosomal RNA
Source: RNAcentral